GCCUCGAUGGUGAAAUUGGUAGACACGCUGGUCUUAGAAGCCAGUGCUUUAUGCGUGACGGUUCGAGUCCGUCUUGAGGCACCA
This 84-nucleotide transfer RNA is filed under the name Caulobacteraceae bacterium. Its description in RNAcentral is "tRNA-Leu". It matches the Rfam family "tRNA". From Rfam's summary of the family: Transfer RNA (tRNA) molecules are approximately 80 nucleotides in length. Lineage: Bacteria; Pseudomonadati; Pseudomonadota; Alphaproteobacteria; Caulobacterales; Caulobacteraceae. The record is from RNAcentral.